GUUUACAUGCGACACUGACCUUGCGUCAGUCGUCUGAAUAUCGCAUCAAUCAUACAACAAUGUCGCUGCUUUACGGUCCGGGCCGUCCGGGCGCGCAGGUCCGGUUCCUUGCAGAUUAGCAACACUAUACGUGAUGCGGCGCGUAAGUAGUUUGUUAAUUCGGAGUCUUCCUUUCAGUCGUCGUGUGUGAAAGGAUAUCAGGAGUGUUGAAUUAAUUUCGAGCAGCGCAUUGAUUAAACGAUAAUAACCUAACCUAACUUAAUCUAAUCUAACACAUCUUUCGAUCGCAAACGACAAAUCGAUUAUUCAUAUUGUUGAAGUAAGCGUUUAUCUAAAUCGCGUUGUAAAAGAGAGUUAUUAGCUUAAUCGCGGCCAUUAUUGCGCAUCGUAUUAAAAAAGUGAUUCGGUGAAUAAUUAAUAAGCGGACGCGAUCUGUAUAUUUUUCGGGAGUGUAUUAUUACGGUGCUAUCUCAGUGCAGAAAUAUAUCAGUGCGUGUGUGUGUGUGUGUAUAAUAAUUAUCAAAUUGAUUAUUAACUUGAAUGAAGCAGCUGCCGACAAGAAUGAUGUUACUCUGAUGACGAAAAUAAUGAUAAUGAUUGGCUUGGAUGAAGCAGCUGGCGACGAAAAAAGUGGAACUUUGGUGCAGGGACGAUGCAAUUAUGACAACCAGGAAGGUGCCAUUGUAGCAAAGGAGGCGGACGAGAUUAUGCUACAUUCUGCGCGUUCUGGCCGUAGAUCGGAAAGUAGAAAGACCGAGGGAAAAUGAGUUGGACGAAGUGCAUGAAGAAGAGCAAACGGAGGUAUCCUUCGAGUGUAACGUCGUCCUCUGCAAGCGAAUGAGCGGAACGUAUAUCGGAGGCCUAGAGAGGGAAGGAAGUUUAAGGACACAGAAGAAGAGAAGAACCGGGAAUCGAGGAGUAGCGAAACUUCAGCGCAAACUUUAGCGGCGGUGUCUCUACGGGUAAGUGA
Long non-coding RNA from Linepithema humile (Argentine ant), 970 nucleotides. RefSeq lists it as uncharacterized. Lineage: Eukaryota; Metazoa; Arthropoda; Insecta; Hymenoptera; Formicidae. The record is from RefSeq and is a predicted model, not a curated record.